AGAGUUUGAUCAUGGCUCAGAUUGAACGCUGGCGGCAUGCUUUACACAUGCAAGUCGAACGGUAACAGGCCUUCGGGCGCUGACGAGUGGCGAACGGGUGAGUAAUGCAUCGGAACGUGCCCAGUCGUGGGGGAUAACUAUCCGAAAGGAUAGCUAAUACCGCAUACGAUCUGCGGAUGAAAGCGGGGGACCUUCGGGCCUCGCGCGAUUGGAGCGGCCGAUGUCAGAUUAGGUAGUUGGUGGGGUAAAGGCUCACCAAGCCAACGAUCUGUAGC
RNAcentral lists this ribosomal RNA (275 nucleotides) under uncultured Macromonas sp. Its description in RNAcentral is "partial 16S ribosomal RNA". It matches the Rfam family "Bacterial small subunit ribosomal RNA", at positions 8 to 287 of the family's 1533-position model. Lineage: Bacteria; Pseudomonadati; Pseudomonadota; Betaproteobacteria; Burkholderiales; Comamonadaceae. The record is from RNAcentral.